RNAcentral lists this ribosomal RNA (1448 nucleotides) under uncultured prokaryote. Its description in RNAcentral is "partial 16S ribosomal RNA". It matches the Rfam family "Bacterial small subunit ribosomal RNA". The record is from RNAcentral.
AUGAACGCUAGCGGCAGGCUUAACACAUGCAAGUCGAGGGGUAACAGGCUUUAGUUUACUAGAAUGCUGACGACCGGCGCACGGGGGCGUAACGCGUAUACAAUCUACCUCUUACUGGGGGAUAGCCCGGAGAAAUUCGGAUUAAUACCCCAUAAUAUGUUUGAUUCGCAUGUUUUAAACAUUAAAGAUUUAUCGGUAAGAGAUGAGUAUGCGUCCCAUUAGUUAGUUGGUAAGGUAACGGCUUACCAAGACUACGAUGGGUAGGGGGACUGAGAGGUUGACCCCCCACACUGGUACUGAGACACGGACCAGACUCCUACGGGAGGCAGCAGUGAGGAAUAUUGGGCAAUGGAGGCAACUCUGACCCAGCCAUGCCGCGUGAAGGAAGAAGGUCCUACGCAUUGUAAACUUCUUUUAUUUGGGAAGAAACCUAUCUACGUGUAGAUAGCUGACGGUACCAAAAGAAUAAGGACCGGCUAACUCCGUGCCAGCAGCCGCGGUAAUACGGAGGGUCAAAGCGUUAUACGGAAUCAUUGGGUUUAAAGGGUUCGUAGGCGGAUUAAUAAGUCAGAGGUGAAAUCCCACAGCUCAACUGUGGAACUGCCUUUGAUACUGUUAGUCUUGAGUUCGGUCGAAGUGGGCGGAAUGUGUCAUGUAGCGGUGAAAUGCAUAGAUAUGACACAGAACACCGAUAGCGAAGGCAGCUCACUAGGCCUGGAUUGACGCUCAGGGACGAAAGCGUGGGGAUCAAACAGGAUUAGAUACCCUGGUAGUCCACGCUGUAAACGAUGAUUACUCGUUUUCGGCGAUAUACAGUCGGAGACUAAGCGAAAGUGAUAAGUAAUCCACCUGGGGAGUACGAUCGCAAGGUUGAAACUCAAAGGAAUUGACGGGGGCCCGCACAAGCGGUGGAGCAUGUGGUUUAAUUCGAUGAUACGCGAGGAACCUUACCUGGGCUUAAAUGUAUAUUGACAGAUUGGGAAACCAGUUUUUCUUCGGACAAUUUACAAGGUGCUGCAUGGUUGUCGUCAGCUCGUGCUGUGAGGUGUCGGGUUAAGUCCCAUAACGAGCGCAACCCCUAUCCUUAGUUGCCAGCGAGUAAUGUCGGGGACUCUAAGGAAACUGCCGGUGCAAACCGUGAGGAAGGUGGGGAUGACGUCAAAUCAUCACGGCCCUUACGUCCAGGGCUACACACGUGCUACAAUGGCGGAUACAAAGGGCAGCUACUUGGUGACAAGAUGCUAAUCUCUAAAGUCCGUCUCAGUUCGGAUCGAAGUCUGCAACUCGACUUCGUGAAGCUGGAAUCGCUAGUAAUCGUAUAUCAGCAAUGAUACGGUGAAUACGUUCCCGGGCCUUGUACACACCGCCCGUCAAGCCAUGGAAGCUGGGAGUGCCUGAAGUCGGUGACCGCAAGGAGCUGCCUAGGGUAAAACUAGUAACUGGGGCUA